GGGGAAUAUUGCGCAAUGGGGGAAACCCUGACGCAGCAACGCCGCGUGCGGGAUGAAGGCUUUCGGGUUGUAAACCUCUUUUAUUCCUGAACAAGGCUUGGAUUGUUGUCUGGGUUGAGGGUAGGGGGUGAAUAAGCGCCGGCUAACUACGUGCCAGCAGCCGCGGUAAUACGUAGGGCGCGAGCGUUGUCCGGAUUUAUUGGGCGUAAAGAGCUCGUAGGCGGUUUGUUGCGUCUGCUGUGAAAACGCGGGGCUUAACUUCGCGCGUGCAGUGGGUACGGGCAGGCUAGAGUGCGGUAGGGGAGAUUGGAAUUCCUGGUGUAGCGGUGGAAUGCGCAGAUAUCAGGAGGAACACCGAUGGCGAAGGCAGGUCUCUGGGCCGUUACUGACGCUGAGGAGCGAAAGCGUGGGGAGCGAACA
This 420-nucleotide ribosomal RNA is filed under the name uncultured Actinomycetales bacterium. RNAcentral's name for it is "bacterial SSU rRNA". It matches the Rfam family "Bacterial small subunit ribosomal RNA", at positions 356 to 774 of the family's 1533-position model. Lineage: Bacteria; Bacillati; Actinomycetota; Actinomycetes; Actinomycetales. The record is from RNAcentral.